GUGAGGAAUAUUGGUCAAUGGACGAGAGUCUGAACCAGCCAAGUCGCGUGAAGGAAGACGGUUCUAUGAAUUGUAAACUUCUUUUGUGCAGGAAUAAAGUGGGUUACGUGUAACCUUUUGUAUGUACUGUACGAAUAAGGAUCGGCUAACUCCGUGCCAGCAGCCGCGGUAAUACGGAGGAUCCGAGCGUUAUCCGGAUUUAUUGGGUUUAAAGGGUGCGUAGGUGGAUUGAUAAGUCAGCGGUGAAAGUUUGCAGCUUAACUGUAAAAUUGCCGUUGAAACUGUCGGUCUUGAGUGCAAAUGAGGUAGGCGGAAUGUGUUGUGUAGCGGUGAAAUGCUUAGAUAUAACACAGAACUCCGAUUGCGAAGGCAGCUUACUGGGACGCAACUGACACUGAUGCACGAAAGCGUGGGUAUCAAACAGGAUUAGAAACCCCAGUAGUCC
This 445-nucleotide ribosomal RNA is filed under the name uncultured bacterium. RNAcentral describes it as "partial 16S ribosomal RNA". It matches the Rfam family "Bacterial small subunit ribosomal RNA", at positions 354 to 796 of the family's 1533-position model. The record is from RNAcentral.